AUGGCCAGCCACCGCUACAGCACACACCUCCUUUCUGAGAUCCACCCCAUUGAGGAGGGCAACGGAUUGGCCCACCCACGCGGCACGCCCCUCCAUCCUCAGAUCCACCCAAGUGAGGAGGUUGCUGGAAUGCCCAGCCACCGCCGCAGUGCACUCCUCCUUUCCCAGAUCCACACCAUCGAGGAGUGUGACGAACUUGCCCACCCAUGUGGCAUGUGCGUCCGUCCCCAGAUCCAGGCUGGUGAGGAGGAUAUUGGAACAACUCGUCGCAGACGUCAACGCCACCGCGGCACCUCGUCGGAGGCACCCUCCUCCCUGCCGGACAACGACGAUAUACUCAGGGAGAUCUUUCUCCGCCUCCCCUCGGACCUGUACUCAUUCCCCCGAGCGUCUGCCAUCUGCAAGCGUUGGCGAGGCCUCCUCAUCGACCCCAAGUUCCUCUGCCAGUUCUACACACACCACUGCAAGCCGCCCCUCCUCGGCAUCUUCGAGAACUGCAGCAAGGAAGGUAUGGUGUUCACCCCCAUUCCGGCUCUAGUUGCCGACUACAUCCCUCCGGAGCGCUUCUCCCUUGGACGCCCCCGACUUACCUAUGUGCUCGACUGCCGCCACGGUCGCGUACUUAUCGAAGAUCUAGAGCAGAAAUACCUCAUUGUGUGCGACCCCAUCACAAGUGAGAAGUGUCGCGUGGCUCUUCCAUGCAAGUUCAAGUGGAGCUUUGUCGGAGCGGUGCUCUGCACAGCCGGCUACAAGGGGCCCUCCAGCCCCUUCAAGGUGGUAUUGGUGUCCUGGGAUGGCGUGGAUAAUCAACUCCUCGCCUACGUUUACUCCUCGAUGACCGACACAUGGGGCAAUCUCAUAUCAGUUGAGGCUCCAGAUAAUACUUAUUUUCAUGGUUGUCGUAGCACCCUUGUUGGCAAUGUCCUUUACUGGCCAGUUAUGAAUGGGAGAGGUACAAUACUUGAGUUUGAUUUGGACAGCCAGAACCUUACCAUGAUCAAGGGGCCUCCUGGUAUGAAUGAUACUGGCAACUUUCAGAUCAUCCAGGCAGAGGAUGGCGCCGUUGGUCUUGCCAUGUUGUCCUGUCAUAACCUUCAAAUUUGGCAGAGGAAGGUCAAUUGUCAAGGUGUUUGCAUAUGGUUGUUGCAGAAAACGGUUUCAUUGCACAAGCUUCUUAAGAUCCCUCCUCGGGGCAAUAAAAGGAUCAAAUGGCCGGACAAAUUUCUGGGCUAUGAAGAGGAUAACGAUGUAAUCUUUUUAUAUAGAUACGAAAGUGUCUAUAUGGUUCAACUCAAGUCAAUGCAAUUCAGGAAAUUUAAUGGAACCCGUUCCAGGGAGUAUAGGGAGUGUUGUUAUCCUUUCACGGGUUUCUUCCCACCAGGCACAACCAUUACUAGUGGAUGUAAAGAAGCUGAAAUGUUAGGAUGA
RNAcentral lists this ribosomal RNA (1428 nucleotides) under Triticum aestivum (bread wheat). RNAcentral describes it as "partial small subunit ribosomal RNA". The record is from RNAcentral. Lineage: Eukaryota; Viridiplantae; Streptophyta; Magnoliopsida; Poales; Poaceae.